GCCGGCCCCUGGGACUGAGACACGGCCCAGACUCCUCGGGAGGCAGCAGUGGGGAAUAUUGCACAAUGGGCGAAAGCCUGAUGCAGCGACGCCGCGUGAGGGAUGACGGCCUUCGGGUUGUAAACCUCUUUCAGCAGGGAAGAAGCGGAAAGUGACGGGUCCUGCAGAAGAAGCGCCGGCUAACUACGUGCCAGCAGCCGCGGUAAUACGUAGGGCGCAAGCGUUGUCCGGAAUUAUUGGGCGUAAAGAGCUCGUAGGCGGCUUGUUCACGUUCGGAUGUGAAACCCGAGGCUUAACCUCGGGCUGCAUUCGAUACGGGCUAGCUAGAGUGUGGUAGGGGAGAUCGGAAUUCCUGGUGUAGCGGUGAAAUGCGCAGAUAUCAGGAGGAACACCGGUGGCGAAGGCGGAUCUCUGGGCCAUUACUUGACGCUUGAGGAGCGAAAGCGUGGGGAGCAGAACAGGAUUAGAUACCCUUGGUAGUCCACGCCGUAAACGUUGGGAACUAGGUGUUGGCGACAUUCCACGUUCGUCGGUCCGCAGCUACGCAUUAGUUCCCCGCCUGGGGAGUCGGCCGCAAGGCUAAAACUCAAAGGAAUUGACGGGGGCCCGCACAAGCGGCGGAGCAUGUGGCUUAAUUCGACGCAACGCGAAGAACCUUACCAAGGCGUUGACAUAUACCGGGAAAGCAAUUAGAGAUAGUGCCCCCCAUUGUGGUUGGUAUACAGGUGGCUGCAUGGCUGUCGUCCAGCCUCGUGUCGUGAGAAUGUUUGGGUUUAAGUUCCCGCAACGAGCGCAACCCUUGGUCCUUGUGUUGCCAGCAAUGCCCUUUCGGGGUUGAUGGGGACCUCACAGGAGACCGCCGGGGGUCAACUCGGAGGAGGUGGGGACGACGUCAAGUCAUCAUGCCCCUUAUGUCUUGGGCUGCAACGUGCUACAAUGGCCGGUACAAUGAGCUGCGAUACCGUUGAGGUGGAGCGAAUGUCAAAAAGCCGGUCUCAGUUCGGAUUGGGGUCUGCAACUCGACCCCAUGAAGUCGGAGUCGCCUAGUAAUCGCAGAUCAGCAUUGCCUGCGGUGAAUACGUUCCCGGGCCGUUGUACACACCGCCCGUCACGUCACGAAAGUCGGUAACACCCGAAGCCGGUGGCCCAACCCUUGUGGAGGGAGCUGUCGAAGGUGGGACUGGCGAUUGGGACGAAGUCGUAAACCAAGGGUACAAG
RNAcentral lists this ribosomal RNA (1218 nucleotides) under Streptomyces sp. BJ31. RNAcentral's name for it is "bacterial SSU rRNA". It matches the Rfam family "Bacterial small subunit ribosomal RNA", at positions 303 to 1503 of the family's 1533-position model. The record is from RNAcentral. Lineage: Bacteria; Bacillati; Actinomycetota; Actinomycetes; Kitasatosporales; Streptomycetaceae.